This 251-nucleotide ribosomal RNA is filed under the name uncultured prokaryote. RNAcentral describes it as "partial 16S rRNA". It matches the Rfam family "Bacterial small subunit ribosomal RNA", at positions 525 to 775 of the family's 1533-position model. The record is from RNAcentral.
ACGGAGGAUGCGAGCGUUAUCCGGAUUUAUUGGGUUUAAAGGGUGCGUAGGUGGACUGUUUAGUCAGUGGUGAAAUGCUGAUGCUCAACGUUAGCAUUGCCGUUGAAACUGACAGUCUUGAGAGUGAUUGAGGCAGGCGGAAUGUGUGGUGUGGCGGGAAAAUAAAUAGAUAUCACACAGAACCAAAAGUGGGAGGGCAUUUUGCAAAGCCACAACUGACACUGAAGCACGAAAGCGUGGGGAUCAAACAG